Molecule: ribosomal RNA, 254 nt
Filed under: uncultured bacterium
Lineage: Bacteria
Description: partial 16S ribosomal RNA
Rfam family: Bacterial small subunit ribosomal RNA
Source: RNAcentral
UACGUAGGGGGCGAGCGUUGUCCGGAUUCAUUGGGCGUAAAGAGCUCGUAGGCGGUUUGGCAAGUCGGGUGUGAAAUCUCUGGGCUCAACUCAGAGAGGCCACUCGAGACUGCUAUGACUAGAGUCCGGUAGGGGACCAUGGAAUUCCUGGUGUAGCGGUGAAAUGCGCAGAUAUCAGGAGGAACACCUAUUGCGAAGGCAGCUCGCUGGGACGUCACUGACGCUGAGACGCGAAAGCGUGGGGAGCAAACAGG